AUUGAACGCUGGCGGCAGGCCUAACACAUGCAAGUCGAACGAGUGGGGGACGGGAGAGUAAUGUCUGGGACACUGCCUGCGGGAGGGGGUUAGCUACCGGAAACGGUAGCUAAUACCGCAUAACAGAAGAUGUUCCCCGAUGGGAUUAGCUAGGUGGUGGGGUAACGGCUCACCAAGGCGACGAUCCCUAGAUGGUCUGAGAGGAGUACCAGCCACACUGGAACUGAGACACGGUCCAGACUCCUACGGGAGGCAGCAGUGGGAAAUAUUGCACAAUGGGCGCAAGCCUGAUGCAGCCAUGCCGCGUGUAUGAAGAAGGCCUUCGGGUUGUAAAGUACUUUCAGCGGGGAGGCGUUACCCGCAGAAGAAGCACCGGCUAACUCCGUGCCAGCAGCCGCGGUAAUUC
Molecule: ribosomal RNA, 406 nt
Filed under: uncultured bacterium
Lineage: Bacteria
Description: partial 16S ribosomal RNA
Rfam family: Bacterial small subunit ribosomal RNA
Source: RNAcentral